GUCCUGUGGAGGAAUUGGUCAGCUCACCGCCCUCUCACGGCGGACGUUGCAGGUUCCAGUCCCGCCGGCGUCACCA
RNAcentral lists this transfer RNA (76 nucleotides) under Mycobacterium fortunisiensis. RNAcentral's name for it is "[Mycobacterium] fortunisiensis tRNA-Glu". It matches the Rfam family "tRNA". From Rfam's summary of the family: Transfer RNA (tRNA) molecules are approximately 80 nucleotides in length. Their secondary structure includes four short double-helical elements and three loops (D, anti-codon, and T loops). Lineage: Bacteria; Bacillati; Actinomycetota; Actinomycetes; Mycobacteriales; Mycobacteriaceae. The record is from RNAcentral.